UACAGAGGGGGCAAGCGUUGUUCGGAAUUACUGGGCGUAAAGGGCGCGUAGGCGGCCGCCUAAGUCAGACGUGAAAUCCCUCGGCUCAACCGGGGAACUGCGUCUGAUACUGGGUGGCUUGAAUUCGGGAGAGGGAUGCGGAAUUCCAGGUGUAGCGGUGAAAUGCGUAGAUAUCAUCUGGAACGCCAAAGGUGAAAACAGACUGCUGGGAGUGUGCUGACGCUGAGACACGAAAGCUAGGGGAGCGAACGGG
Molecule: ribosomal RNA, 253 nt
Filed under: uncultured bacterium
Lineage: Bacteria
Description: partial 16S ribosomal RNA
Rfam family: Bacterial small subunit ribosomal RNA
Source: RNAcentral